This 253-nucleotide ribosomal RNA is filed under the name uncultured bacterium. RNAcentral's name for it is "partial 16S ribosomal RNA". It matches the Rfam family "Bacterial small subunit ribosomal RNA", at positions 524 to 776 of the family's 1533-position model. The record is from RNAcentral.
UACGUAGGCAGCGAGCGUUGUUCGGAGUUACUGGGCGUAAAGCGUGCGUAGGCGGUGGUCCAAGUCUGGUGUGAAAUCUCCCGGCUUAACUGGGAGGGUGCGCCGGAAACUGGGCCGCUGGAGUACGGGAGAGGCAAGCGGAAUUCCAGGUGUAGCGGUGAAAUGCGUAGAUAUCUGGAGGAACACCCGUGGUGCAGACGGCUUGCUGGACCGUGACUUACGCUGAGGCACGAAAGCGUGGGUAGCAAACAGG